AGUGAACGCUGGCGGUAGGCCUAACACAUGCAAGUCGAACGGCAGCACAGUAAGAGCUUGCUCUUACGGGUGGCGAGUGGCGGACGGGUGAGGAAUACAUCGGAAUCUACUUUUUCGUGGGGGAUAACGUAGGGAAACUUACGCUAAUACCGCAUACGACCUACGGGUGAAAGCAGGGGAUCUUCGGACCUUGCGCGAUUGAAUGAGCCGAUGUCGGAUUAGCUAGUUGGCGGGGUAAAGGCCCACCAAGGCGACGAUCCGUAGCUGGUCUGAGAGGAUGAUCAGCCACACUGGAACUGAGACACGGCCCAAACUCCUACGGGAGGCAGCAGUGGGGAAUAUUGCACAAUGGGCGAAAGCCUGAUGCAGCGACGCCGCGUGAGCGAAGAAGUAUUUCGGUAUGUAAAGCUCUAUCAGCAGGGAAGAUAAUGACGGUACCUGACUAAGAAGCACCGGCUAAAUACGUG
RNAcentral lists this ribosomal RNA (467 nucleotides) under uncultured bacterium. RNAcentral's name for it is "partial 16S ribosomal RNA". It matches the Rfam family "Bacterial small subunit ribosomal RNA", at positions 29 to 507 of the family's 1533-position model. The record is from RNAcentral.